CAGUAGCCGCGGGAAUACGUAGGUGGCAAGCGUUAUCCGGAAUUAUUGGGCGUAAAGCGCGCGUAGGCGGUUUUUUAAGUCUGAUGUGAAAGCCCACGGCUCAACCGUGGAGGGUCAUUGGAAACUGGAAAACUUGAGUGCAGAAGAGGAAAGUGGAAUUCCAUGUGUAGCGGUGAAAUGCGCAGAGAUAUGGAGGAACACCAGUGGCGAAGGCGACUUUCUGGUCUGUAACUGACGCUGAUGUGCGAAAGCGUGGGGAUCAAACAGGAUUAGAUACCCCCGUAGUCCCUGUCUCUUAUAC
Molecule: ribosomal RNA, 301 nt
Filed under: uncultured bacterium
Lineage: Bacteria
Description: partial 16S ribosomal RNA
Rfam family: Bacterial small subunit ribosomal RNA
Source: RNAcentral